GAUCAAAACACAAUGACACAAACUUCAAAAGUCUAGAGAAACUUAGGUCUUAAGAUUAUUUCAUUUAAAAAGCAUCUAGAUUGAGUGCUUUGAAAACACACCCAAAGCAAUAAAGACUGAAAAAAAAAAGAGAACCACAGCAACACUAACAGGAAAGUCCCUCCGAUCUUCAAUAAAACAAAAGAAGUAGCCAGAGCUUCGAACUAUACACAGUCAUGUGUACUGUGAACUACUAUGGAAUCUGUACUAAUAUGAGGAGAGAAACUAUUAAUAAGAGCCAACACAAACUUCAGAAAUAGAAGAGAAAAGGGGUGUCCUUACAAGUGUCAUAGUUUUGCGUGUAAUAUCUGAUGAUCCAACAGAAUAUCAGGUCUGGGAACGGAAUGGGUGCAGCCUGUGAGUAGGCAAAUAUCCUAGAAAUUUAUGCCACAGAAAGUCAAGGAAGGUAGCA
RNAcentral lists this long non-coding RNA (451 nucleotides) under Bos taurus (domestic cattle). RNAcentral describes it as "long non-coding RNA NONBTAT011180". The record is from RNAcentral. Lineage: Eukaryota; Metazoa; Chordata; Mammalia; Artiodactyla; Bovidae.